UGUUUCAGGCGAACUUCAAGAUAUUUCAUCCCGCCCUUUUGCACGCUGGCAGGCAGCUGUGAGCGAGCUUGGCUCGGCUGAACGGGUGGACGCCCUGCAGGUCUCAGUUUCCUCGACUGAGAGGUGAGCCCGAUGCUGUGGCUGUGCUGUGUUCACGUUACCGAUGCCGGCAGUGCCCGCUGUACACGUGUGUGCGUGUGUGUCUACUUACACCCGGCCUUGUUCUGAGGUGCACUUCAAGCCUCUUGUAGGAAACCGUGGAGGAGCAGGGGUGCCACAGGUGAGAAGAAAAAGUGCGAACAAGAGGAUGGACCCACUCCCCACUGGGGACCCAGUGCAGCCUCAGCGCCUUCCACGUGGGCCAUGGACCCAUCACAGAUUUUGCCUUGAAUAUCCUGGUGGUUAAACCCAAUUGGCUAUGACUCCCAAUGUCCAGAAGACAAAAGUGACCGUCCAGCUGCCCGAAAUGUGCGCCUGUGGGUGUGGCCGUGCUGGUCGGCAUCCCAGCGAUAUAGCUUCUGAGGCGAGCCAGCCUGGGUCUCGGAAUCCAGGGAUCACCAUGGUGCAGACGCCCCAGGGCUGUGUGCAAAGCAAACGCCGUGAGGCUGGUGGCUGCCAGCGUGGAGGAGCUCAGAGCAGAGGGGACCCUUGUCCGGCAUUGCUGAGGGCUCAGAGACAGCCAGUAAGGCGGCGACGGAAGCAGUGUGCUCCCCGGGGACGGCUUGCCACAGACCCGGCUGUCUUGUGGUGAGAGUGCCCUCCUGAACUGUUUUGGGGCCCCGCCCCCUGCCUCCAGCCCAAGCCCUGGUCCAUGCCAGGCUCCCAGGGGGGUCUGGGUGCACAGUGAGUUAGGCGUGGUGUUUGCCCUCCAGGAGCCCCCCAGCCCAGCCAGCGCCCUGGGAGGGGUAGGUGUGCUCAUGGGAAAGGCCCCUUGUCUUCGGUGAGACCUUCAGGAGCUGGUGGGAGACAUGAAGGCUCAGGGAAAGCAGGGUCUGUGUGGCUCUGUGUGUCACAGCAGCCUCUGUGUCACUCUACCACGGCCAAGGGGUGUGAACUUGGGCAAGUUACCUGAACUCUCUGUGCCUCCAUCUCACCAUCCAUGAAAUGGGCAGAUCAUUCAACCCCACCUUUUAACGAGGUAGGAACUUUUAUUACUCCCAUUUUAUAGAUGGGAAAACUGAGGCUCAGAGAGGUGAUUUACCUAGGAACACAUAGCUAAUGUCUGACUCCAAAACUCACACUCAGUGAUUAACAGGAGAUGUCCAAUCAGCGUACUCUGGGGACAGA
Eubalaena glacialis (North Atlantic right whale) is the source of this 1287-nucleotide long non-coding RNA. RefSeq lists it as uncharacterized. The transcript is spliced from 3 exons. The record is from RefSeq and is a predicted model, not a curated record. Lineage: Eukaryota; Metazoa; Chordata; Mammalia; Artiodactyla; Balaenidae.